GUGGGGAAUAUUGGACAAUGGGCGAAAGCCUGAUCCAGCCAUGCCGCGUGUGUGAAGAAGGUCUUCGGAUUGUAAAGCACUUUAAGUUGGGAGGAAGGGCAGUAAGUUAAUACCUUGCUGUUUUGACGUUACCAACAGAAUAAGCACCGGCUAACUUCGUGCCAGCAGCCGCGGUAAUACGAAGGGUGCAAGCGUUAAUCGGAAUUACUGGGCGUAAAGCGCGCGUAGGUGGUUCAGCAAGUUGAAGGUGAAAUCCCCGGGCUCAACCUGGGAACUGCCGCCAAAACUACUGAGCUAGAGUACGGUAGAGGGUAGUGGAAUUUCCUGUGUAGCGGUGAAAUGCGUAGAUAUAGGAAGGAACACCAGUGGCGAAGGCGACUACCUGGACUGAUACUGACACUGAGGUGCGAAAGCGUGGGGAGCAAACAGGAUUAGAAACCCUGGUAGUCC
RNAcentral lists this ribosomal RNA (450 nucleotides) under uncultured bacterium. RNAcentral's name for it is "partial 16S ribosomal RNA". It matches the Rfam family "Bacterial small subunit ribosomal RNA", at positions 354 to 796 of the family's 1533-position model. The record is from RNAcentral.